GCUUACGGCCACACCUCCUGAGCAGCCCCGGAUCUCGUAUGAUCUCGGAAGCUAAGCAGGGUCGGCCCGGUUAGUACUUGGAUGGGAGACGCCUGGGAAUACCAGGUGCUGUAAGCC
RNAcentral lists this ribosomal RNA (117 nucleotides) under Esox lucius (northern pike). Lineage: Eukaryota; Metazoa; Chordata; Actinopteri; Esociformes; Esocidae. The record is from RNAcentral.